UGCAAGUCGAACGAGAAAGUGGAGCAAUCCAUGAGUAAAGUGGCGCACGGGUGAGUAACACGUGACUAACCUACCCUGGAGUGGGGGAUAACUGAGGGAAACCUUAGCUAAUACCGCAUAACACCUACGGGUCAAAGGAGCAAUUCGCUUCAGGAGGGGGUCGCGGCCGAUUAGUUAGUUGGCGGGGUAAUGGCCCACCAAGACUGUGAUCGGUAUCCGGCCUGAGAGGGCGCACGGACACACUGGAACUGAAACACGGUCCAGACUCCUACGGGAGGCAGCAGUGGGGAAUUUUGCGCAAUGGGGGAAACCCUGACGCAGCAACGCCGCGUGGAGGAUGAAGUCCUUCGGGACGUAAACUCCUUUCGAUCGGGACGAUUAUGACGGUACCGGAAGAAGAAGCCCCGGCUAACUUCGUGCCAGCAGCCGCGGUAAUACGAGGGGGGCGAGCGUUGUUCGGAAUUAUUGGGCGUAAAGGGUGCGUAGGCGGUUUGGUAAGUCUUGUGUGAAAUCUCUGGGCUCAACUCAGAGUCUGCACGAGAAACUGCCGGGCUUGAGUGUGGGAGAGGUGAGUGGAAUUUCCGGUGUAGCGGUGAAAUGCGUAGAUAUCGGAAGGAACACCUGUGGCGAAAGCGGCUCACUGGACCACAACUGACGCUGAUGCACGAAAGCUAGGGGAGCAAACAGGAUUAGAUACCCUGGUAGUCCUAGCCCUAAACGAUGACUGCUUGGUGUGACGGGUACCCAAUCUCGCCGUGCCGUAGCUAACGCGUUAAGCAGUCCGCCUGGGGAGUACGGUCGCAAG
Molecule: ribosomal RNA, 805 nt
Filed under: uncultured Acidobacteriota bacterium
Lineage: Bacteria; Pseudomonadati; Acidobacteriota
Description: bacterial SSU rRNA
Rfam family: Bacterial small subunit ribosomal RNA
Source: RNAcentral